RNAcentral lists this long non-coding RNA (1168 nucleotides) under Carica papaya (papaya). RNAcentral's name for it is "long non-coding RNA (CPAP_LNC000287)". The record is from RNAcentral. Lineage: Eukaryota; Viridiplantae; Streptophyta; Magnoliopsida; Brassicales; Caricaceae.
UUCUAACUAAGUGCAUUGUGUGUGUGUGUGUAUAUACUCAAAACCAACAUACAGAAAAAGUCUUUUCUUCUCCAUUUGCCACCUUUUUUUGGCUUGCCAACCUUCCUCUUAACUAGGGUUCUCCCUUGUUCCCCAUCCUCCUUAUUCUUUCUUGGCCUUCUCACCUUCUUCUACAUUUGAGUAGUACUUUCUCCCGGUGGCACUACAGAACUAAUCUCUUUUUCUGGAUUCUUUUUCCUUGACUUUGGAGUGGGUUUAUUAGGAUAGAUUUCAUAAAGUAUGAAAUCUGUAACCUUAACAACAGAUCGGAAGGACCCCUUAGAUUCCUUAUGAAUAUAGUACUACAAUCCCAGAUGAAUAUAAAUUUUAUCAAGCUUCCUUUUCUAUUUCCAGAUGAAUAUAAUACUCUAAAAACUAAUUUGUUAAGUUGAAAAAACUAAAAGGGACUUACUGUAUCACAUAUUUUAGUAUCCCGUUGUCAUUUCUCAACCGUCCAGCCUUUGAUUCUUUCCUACAUUAUGUAUCUGGGAUUUGUAUUGGGUCGAAGAUGCUCCCGAGUGUAUUAUCAGUAAGAAAAUUAACUAUUAAAGAGUUUUUAGCAAAACCCAUUUGACCUAAAAGAAAAUCUUAGAAACUUAAGUAAUAGAAAAUUUUACUAACAAGAUCAAUAUUAUCAGCCAUAGCUAGGAGAUCUUAAGGAAGUGUAAAUGAGACUGCAGUUGUUCCAGCUACUAGACAUUUAGUUUGUCUUUUGCAUCCCUUCAAGUUUCCCUACAAAUUAAUUAACACUGACUACACUAUGAUCUAAAAAAUCAGUAUAUAAAAUUGCAUUCAUAUAUAAAUAUAUAUGUAUAUAGAAAGACAAAGAGAUCGUGGGAGUACCAUUUGAGUAGAAUCAAAAGGGUGGAUAUCUUCUUCAUUUGGUCUUUUGAAAGAAAUGGGGAUUACUGGCUCAGCCUUUGCUGCAAUAUUUAUAUCUUUUCCAGCUAAUUGUUUGGCCUUUGCGGCUUGAUAGGCUUCCUUCUCUUUUUAUUCUUCUUUCACCUUCUCGCUAAACUCCAUUAUCUUUUAUUUCAAGAUGGAUAGUUUUAAUAAAUUCUCAAAAAAAAAAAUCAUUAAAAUCUUCACAUAUCUAUAUAAUCUGGAACCAACCCCAAUGAAUUUUCGC